Molecule: long non-coding RNA, 411 nt
Organism: Nanorana parkeri
Lineage: Eukaryota; Metazoa; Chordata; Amphibia; Anura; Dicroglossidae
Exons: 3
Source: RefSeq, a predicted model, not a curated record
UUAACCAGAACCUCCACCCAGAAUCCACCCGGAUAGAAUUCAGUGCCUUUUUUUUUGUAACCUGUUGCAGGGGAAGAAUAGCAGCGCAGUGCUUACUGCCCACAUCAUGUCAAGCUGGGGUGUAAGCGACACUCACAUCAGCAUCUGCUGUCCUUCAGGAACCUGGCAAUUGGAUAAGAGGUAAGCUUCACACUGAGGAUCUCUGUGCAGAAUCUGCUCCAGGCAAUGUGUAGCUUCUGGAAUGGAGAGAGAACUUGACCUUUGUUGUAGAGUGAGGAAUUCAGCCUAAUAUCAGACACCUAGGUGUGAAAGAAUGUGAAAGUCACCUGGGUGCUGCACUGUGACCCGCAGUGCUCCAGUCAAGCCAUGUAUUUAGUGAUGAUGAUCGCAACACCAUGAACGCUGCAUCCA